RNAcentral lists this ribosomal RNA (253 nucleotides) under uncultured bacterium. RNAcentral's name for it is "partial 16S ribosomal RNA". It matches the Rfam family "Bacterial small subunit ribosomal RNA", at positions 524 to 776 of the family's 1533-position model. The record is from RNAcentral.
UACGUAGGUGGCAAGCGUUGUCCGGAAUUAUUGGGCGUAAAGCGCGCGCAGGCGGUCCUUUAAGUCUGAUGUGAAAGCCCACGGCUCAACCGUGGAGGGUCAUUGGAAACUGGGGGACUUGAGUGCAGAAGAGAAAAGUGGAAUUCCACGUGUAGCGGUGAAAUGCGUAGAGAUGUGGAGGAACACCAGUGGCGAAGGCGACUCUUUGGUCUGUAACUGACGCUGAGGCGCGAAAGCGUGGGGAGCAAACAGG